RNAcentral lists this small RNA (79 nucleotides) under Salmonella enterica subsp. enterica serovar Typhimurium. Its description in RNAcentral is "Hfq binding sRNA". It matches the Rfam family "STnc490 Hfq binding RNA", at positions 1 to 79 of the family's 124-position model. Lineage: Bacteria; Pseudomonadati; Pseudomonadota; Gammaproteobacteria; Enterobacterales; Enterobacteriaceae. The record is from RNAcentral.
AACCCCCAGCUAGGCUGGGGCUUCCGGAAAGGUUUCAGCUUUAAGCCAGUUAUUAAAACCCCUUUUGAUUUGUUAAAAC